Molecule: ribosomal RNA, 500 nt
Filed under: uncultured Myrionecta
Lineage: Eukaryota; Ciliophora; Litostomatea; Cyclotrichida; Mesodiniidae
Description: bacterial SSU rRNA
Rfam family: Eukaryotic small subunit ribosomal RNA
Source: RNAcentral
ACCAGGUCAAGACAUGGGCGUGAUUGACAGGCUAAUGACUUUUCUCGAUUCCAUGGAUGGUGGUGCAUGGUCGCACUUAGUUGGUGCAGUGAUUUGUCAGGUUUAUUCCGGUAACGAACGAGACCUCGGCCUUGUAAAUAGCUAUGCUGCUUACAGGGACAUUGGCGGCUACGCCAAGGAAGCUCGAGGCAAUUGCAGAUCUGGAAUGCCCUUAGAUGUCCUGGGUCGCACGCGUGCUACAAUGACGCCACGAACGAGCUUGCGUGAUGAAAGUUACGCAUAAUCAGCAGUCGGCGUCUUAAGGGAUAGUCUCUUGUAACUGUGGGACUCCAACUAGGAAUGUCUCGUAAGCACAAGUCAACAUCUUGUGUUGAUUACGUCCCUGCUCUUUGUACACACCGCCCGUCGCUCCUACCGAUCGAGUGUUUAGGGAAUUUGAGGACGUAAGAAAGUCAAAUAAACCUGAGCACUAGAGAGAGAGUGACAGGGGCCUAGGUGGU